RNAcentral lists this ribosomal RNA (462 nucleotides) under uncultured bacterium. RNAcentral's name for it is "bacterial SSU rRNA". It matches the Rfam family "Bacterial small subunit ribosomal RNA", at positions 339 to 794 of the family's 1533-position model. The record is from RNAcentral.
UUACGGGAGGCAGCAGUCGAGAAUUUUUCACAAUGGGCGCAAGCCUGAUGGAGCGACGCCGCGUGGGGGAUGAAUGGCUUCGGCCCGUAAACCCCUGUCAUUCGCGAUCAAACGUUAUUAUUUAAAAGAUGAUGGCCUGAUAGUAGCGGAAGAGGAAGGGACGGCUAACUCUGUGCCAGCAGCCGCGGUAAUACAGAGGUCCCGAGCGUUGUUCGGAUUCACUGGGCGUAAAGGGUGCGUAGGUGGUGAGGUAAGUCGGAUGUGAAAUCUCGGAGCUCAACUCCGAAACGGCAUUGGAAACUACCUUGCUGGAGGGUUGGAGGGGGGACUGGAAUGCUUGGUGUAGCAGUGAAAUGCGUAGAUAUCAAGCGGAACACCAGUGGCGAAGGCGAGUCCCUGGACAACACCUGACACUGAGGCACGAAAGCUAGGGGAGCAAACAGGAUUAGAUACCCCGGUAGC